GUUCGAGUGAUGCUUGGAACGAAA
Molecule: non-coding RNA, 24 nt
Filed under: Arabidopsis thaliana (thale cress)
Lineage: Eukaryota; Viridiplantae; Streptophyta; Magnoliopsida; Brassicales; Brassicaceae
Source: RNAcentral